GUACGUAAAGCCCCAUCUGAGGAUUCUGGAAUUUGCUGACCCUGCUUUGUGUGUGACAUGCUGGCGUCGGGAUUAUGUUUCCAGCUAGGUUGUCCCAAGUAUCUGCAGACUGGGUGGUCCACGUGGGGUUUCUCAGAAAUAAGAAUAUGGCAAUUGGACCUGAAGGAAAAUGAUGUCUCUACAAUUAACAAUCAUGGGGCUUGGAAGGCCCAAGGAGAAAACUAGG
Sapajus apella (tufted capuchin) is the source of this 226-nucleotide long non-coding RNA. RefSeq lists it as uncharacterized. Lineage: Eukaryota; Metazoa; Chordata; Mammalia; Primates; Cebidae. The transcript has 2 exons. The record is from RefSeq and is a predicted model, not a curated record.